This 552-nucleotide ribosomal RNA is filed under the name uncultured bacterium. RNAcentral's name for it is "bacterial SSU rRNA". It matches the Rfam family "Bacterial small subunit ribosomal RNA", at positions 335 to 878 of the family's 1533-position model. The record is from RNAcentral.
ACUCCUACGGGAGGCAGCAGUGGGGAAUUUUGGACAAUGGGGGCAACCCUGAUCCAGCCAUACCGCGUGAGUGAAGAAGGCCUUCGGGUUGUAAAGCUCUUUCAGCCGGAAAGAAAUCGUGCAGGUUAAUAACCUGUAUGGAUGACGGUACCGGAAGAAGAAGCACCGGCUAACUACGUGCCAGCAGCCGCGGUAAUACGUAGGGUGCGAGCGUUAAUCGGAAUUACUGGGCGUAAAGCGUGCGCAGGCGGUUUUGUAAGACAGAUGUGAAAUCCCCGGGCUUAACCUGGGAACUGCAUUUGUGACUGCAAGGCUAGAGUGCGGCAGAGGGGGGUAGAAUUCCACGUGUAGCAGUGAAAUGCGUAGAUAUGUGGAGGAAUACCGAUGGCGAAGGCAGCCCCCUGGGUCGACACUGACGCUCAUGCACGAAAGCGUGGGGAGCAAACAGGAUUAGAUACCCUGGUAGUCCACGCCCUAAACGAUGUCAACUAGGUGUUGGGGAAGGAGACUUCUUUAGUACCGCAGCUAACGCGCUAAGUUGACCGCCUGGGG